CCAGUCUGAACCAGAUCCAGGCCUAGAGUGUGUCCAACCGUGGUCGUGGCACAGUCCGCUCCUCUGAAGCCACGCCCCCUAAUCAGCACAACUGCUUCCACCUGGGUGGAGCCACCCAGUAUAUAUACACCUUUCCAGACUGUCAUUGUUCCAUCCAGACUCUUCAGCACUUGUUUCCUGGCUGCUUCUCUGAGCCUGACCUUUGACCUUCACCUUGUCUCUGCUGCGGUGCCACUUCUCCAGAGGUCCCAGCGUCACAUUACACCUGGCAGGAGGACCGUUUGCCAAAGUUAUGUCUGGGAGCAGCCAAUAACGAUGAAGGCAGAAGGAAACGCUCACCCAUUUCAUUGAGGCUGGAGAAGCCAGCAGUCAUCGGAGCGUGUUUGGGGGAUUUGCCCAGAUUUGGUGCACUGGACGACCACACUUUACACCCUUCACCCAGGGAUUUGAGUCUGGAAACACACAGAGCUCCUGCUCUCGUCUCCUCAGCUGCUCCUCCUGCUCCCUCUGCUCCUCGGCCGCUCGAGCCAGUGCCUCCUCCCAAGAUCUGAGCUCCUGAGGACCAGUUAAGACCAAACAGGAGACGUGUCCACAGCUCAUCAAACAUCUGCUGGAUCUCCAGCCUCCAGUCCUCCUGUAGGGAGUGAAAGGACUCCAGAGGCAUCUGAAACAUGGCCGACUGCUCGAUGGCCAGCAGUCGCCUCAGGAUGCUGGUGAACGAGGGUCGGCUGUGGGGAGUGGGGCUCCAACACUCUGGAACAACCGUCACAACAAACCAGAUUUAACCAAAGUAUCAAUCAUGUAGUUCCUGGAUCAGGUGACGUCAACGUUCUGUAAUAAUUUGAAUGCCUAGUAUAUACUGGUUUAACCAACCAUGUAUUUUUCUCACAGUAAAUCUAAAAAAAACAGCAUCAUCCCUGAACUAAAUUAAAUAAAACAUACUAUAUCUGAAUGAUAAACCAAAACCUUAACUUCAGUUACAGUGUUCAGAGCCACACUGUGUUGACACACAUCACUGCUGUGGGUUGGGCUGGGACUCAAUAAAUGGGUCACUACUCAGUGUGGCAGUUAUUUUUACCUUGAUAUUUUCUUUCAUGUUUUUAUUUUUUAUUGGUUAGUCCUGUUCAUGAAUCAGGUUGGUUUCGUAAAGACCGCUGAGCUGUUUUAAGGCCCUUAAAAAUGCAUUUAAAUGUCACUUAUAUCUGUGUUUCAUUUCACUUGAUUCUAUAAUAGAUGGUUAUAAAGAGACUGGACAGAAGAUGGAACAAUGGCCUGAAUAACUGAAUAACACUUGUUUUCCAUCUCUGGCUGAGGAGAAAGCGACAGAAUUCCCAGACAGCAGGAUGGUACGGCAUAUGGUGACCGUCCUGAGCCAAACCCUGGCUGACAGUGUGACAGAAACAAAGCUACAACUAUCCAUCAAACAAAUUCUAUCUCUGCGUCCAUCACGACCUGGACAAAUGUCCUUGACAACGAGGACGUUUGUCCCCACAUAGACCAGAACAAAGGGGACACAGAGCACGGCUGUACCUCCACA
Long non-coding RNA from Cynoglossus semilaevis (tongue sole), 1537 nucleotides. RefSeq lists it as uncharacterized. The record is from RefSeq and is a predicted model, not a curated record. The transcript has 5 exons. NCBI's taxonomy places the organism in Eukaryota, Metazoa, Chordata, Actinopteri, Pleuronectiformes, Cynoglossidae.